This 457-nucleotide ribosomal RNA is filed under the name uncultured bacterium. RNAcentral describes it as "SSU rRNA". It matches the Rfam family "Bacterial small subunit ribosomal RNA", at positions 26 to 518 of the family's 1533-position model. The record is from RNAcentral.
AGGAUGAACGCUGGCGGUCUGCUUAACACAUGCAAGUCGAACGGGCGUAGCAAUACGUUAGUGGCGGACGGGUGAGUAACGCGUGAGAAUCUACCUUCAGGACGGAGACAACAGUUGGAAACGACUGCUAACCCCCGAUGUACUGAAAAGGCAAAUAUUUAUAGCCUGAAGAAGAGCUCGCGUCCGAUUAGCUAGUUGGAGAGGUAAAAGCUCACCAAGGCGACGAUCGGUAGCUGGUCUGAGAGGACGAUCAGCCACACUGGGACUGAGACACGGCCCAGACUCCUACGGGAGGCAGCAGUGGGAAUUUUCCGCAAUGGGCGAAAGCCUGACGGUGCAAGACCGCGUGGGGGAAGAAGGCUCUUGGGUUGUAAACCCCUUUUCUCUGGAAGAAGUUGUGAAGCAGCCUGACGGUACCAGAGGAAUCAGCAUCGGCUAACUCCGUGCCAGCAGCCGC